UCAGGAUGAACGCUGGCGGCGUGCCUAACACAUGCAAGUCGAGCGAUUCUCUUCGGAGAAGAGCGGCGGACGGGUGAGUAACGCGUGGGUAACCUGCCCUGUACACACGGAUAACAUACCGAAAGGUAUGCUAAUACGAGAUAAUAUACUUUUAUCGCAUGGUAGAAGUAUCAAAGCUCCGGCGGUACAGGAUGGACCCGCGUCUGAUUAGCUAGUUGGUAAGGUAACGGCUUACCAAGGCGACGAUCAGUAGCCGACCUGAGAGGGUGAUCGGCCACAUUGGAACUGAGACACGGUCCAAACUCCUACGGGAGGCAGCAGUGGGGAAUAUUGCACAAUGGGCGAAAGCCUGAUGCAGCAACGCCGCGUGAGCGAUGAAGGCCUUCGGGUCGUAAAGCUCUGUCCUCAAGGAAGAUAAUGACGGUACUUGAGGAGGAAGCCCCGGCUAACUACGUG
This 456-nucleotide ribosomal RNA is filed under the name uncultured bacterium. Its description in RNAcentral is "bacterial SSU rRNA". It matches the Rfam family "Bacterial small subunit ribosomal RNA", at positions 24 to 507 of the family's 1533-position model. The record is from RNAcentral.